UUUAGACACACACACAACAACGCGGAAACUGCACAGCGCCUCCAACAAAGUCUCCAAACAAAUUCCCAGUCCCAUCCCCGGAACCGCUCGCUCUAUCCCUCUCGUCAGCUCCACGAUCUGCACGUCUACCAACUCGCUCACUCCCUCCCUCACCUCAACUCCACGAUCUGCUCGUCCACCAGCUCGCAGAGGAAGAUAAAUGAGGGCGUUUGACAACGGAUCCGAGGGCGCAAAGGAAGGAGAAGCAAUCGGGCCGAGUCCGUCACCGGAGAUCAAGGAGAAGACGAUUAUGUGGCGAUUGUCGCUGGGUUGCUUCGUUGUGGCAUCGAAGCUGACGGUGAGUCCACCGACGACAACAAUGCGUUGUCAUAUUCUGCUCACUGCUUCUCCCCCCUCCAGUCUCUGAUGCGCCUGAUGACGUGCCACCAGG
RNAcentral lists this long non-coding RNA (430 nucleotides) under Zea mays. RNAcentral's name for it is "long non-coding RNA NONZMAT001433". Lineage: Eukaryota; Viridiplantae; Streptophyta; Magnoliopsida; Poales; Poaceae. The record is from RNAcentral.